RNAcentral lists this non-coding RNA (45 nucleotides) under Schistosoma mattheei. Lineage: Eukaryota; Metazoa; Platyhelminthes; Trematoda; Strigeidida; Schistosomatidae. The record is from RNAcentral.
GUCCAGUUGAUGAGUCGUAAAUAGGACGAAACCUGUGUCUUGGAU